RNAcentral lists this long non-coding RNA (787 nucleotides) under Homo sapiens (human). RNAcentral's name for it is "HSALNT0408577". The record is from RNAcentral. Lineage: Eukaryota; Metazoa; Chordata; Mammalia; Primates; Hominidae.
CUUCGCUUCCCUAAGUGCGUUCCCCCAGGGGCCCGGCAGUGUGCUAGGGGCACCCUGCUUCGUAAGUGAGGCAGACAGCCCGUGAUAAAUGCCAAAGUAGAAGCCCCUCCGAAAAAUUAAGGAGCCGAUUGGGCGGGACUAACCCUAAGGGAGGGCAGGGGAAGCGACCGUCACCUCCGGGCGCCGGGGACUCGGAACGCCGGGUCGGAGCUCGGCAGGCGGAGAAAUGUAAGCUCCAUGAGGUCAUGGAUUGUGUAUUUUGUUCACUGCUGUAUUCCCUGAGCCUGGAACAGUGCCUGACACAUAGUAGAUGCGCAGUAAAUAUUUGGUGAAUGAAUGAACAAACGCUAAUACAUCAAAGAGACAACAUCAAAGAACAGACUCCACAGGGCAGUUUACAUCUUCAUUGUUUGGCCCGACCCUUCUUGUUUGAGGGUGGAUUUUCAAAAUUACUGCUGAAGGCAAUUGGGAGCCUUGAAAGCUUUUAAAGGAGACGGGGUCUCACCACAUUGUCCAGGCUGAUCUCGAACUCCUGACUUCAAGCGAUCUCACCUCGGCCUCCCAAAGUGCUGGGAUUACAGGCAUAAGCCACCGUGCCUGGCCAAUUAUGAACAGACAUUGAUGCAGUUUCCUUCCUGGAGAGGGUACACACUCAGAUCAUGAGACCUAAGAUAAAACACACACUGGAUUGUCAAGAAUCAAACAAGGACUACCAAUGGGAUCUAAUUAAACUAAAGAGCUUCUGCACAGCAAAAGAAACUACCAUCAGGGUGAACAGGCAACCUAC